GCAAGUAGAACGCUGAAGAGAGGAGCUUGCUCUUCUUGGAUGAGUUGCGAACGGGUGAGUAACGCGUAGGUAACCUGCCUUGUAGCGGGGGAUAACUAUUGGAAACGAUAGCUAAUACCGCAUAACAAUGGAUGACACAUGUCAUUUAUUUGAAAGGGGCAAUUGCUCCACUACAAGAUGGACCUGCGUUGUAUUAGCUAGUAGGUGAGGUAACGGCUCACCUAGGCGACGAUACAUAGCCGACCUGAGAGGGUGAUCGGCCACACUGGGACUGAGACACGGCCCAGACUCCUACGGGAGGCAGCAGUAGGGAAUCUUCGGCAAUGGGGGCAACCCUGACCGAGCAACGCCGCGUGAGUGAAGAAGGUUUUCGGAUCGUAAAGCUCUGUUGUAAGUCAAGAACGAGUGUGAGAGUGGAAAGUUCACACUGUGACGGUAGCUUACCAGAAAGGGACGGCUAACUACGUGCCAGCAGCCGCGGUAAUACGUAGGUCCCGAGCGUUGUCCGGAUUUAUUGGGCGUAAAGCGAGCGCAGGCGGUUUGAUAAGUCUGAAGUUAAAGGCUGUGGCUCAACCAUAGUUCGCUUUGGAAACUGUCAAACUUGAGUGCAGAAGGGGAGAGUGGAAUUCCAUGUGUAGCGGUGAAAUGCGUAGAUAUAUGGAGGAACACCGGUGGCGAAAGCGGCUCUCUGGUCUGUAACUGACGCUGAGGCUCGAAAGCGUGGGGAGCGAACAGGAUUAGAUACCCUGGUAGUCCACGCCGUAAACGAUGAGUGCUAGGUGUUGGAUCCUUUCCGGGAUUCAGUGCCGCAGCUAACGCAUUAAGCACUCCGCCUGGGGAGUACGACCGCAAGGUUGAAACUCAAAGGAAUUGACGGGGGCCCGCACAAGCGGUGGAGCAUGUGGUUUAAUUCGAAGCAACGCGAAGAACCUUACCAGGUCUUGACAUCCCGAUGCUAUUUCUAGAGAUAGAAAGUUACUUCGGUACAUCGGUGACAGGUGGUGCAUGGUUGUCGUCAGCUCGUGUCGUGAGAUGUUGGGUUAAGUCCCGCAACGAGCGCAACCCCUAUUGUUAGUUGCCAUCAUUCAGUUGGGCACUCUAGCGAGACUGCCGGUAAUAAACCGGAGGAAGGUGGGGAUGACGUCAAAUCAUCAUGCCCCUUAUGACCUGGGCUACACACGUGCUACAAUGGUUGGUACAACGAGUUGCGAGUCGGUGACGGCAAGCUAAUCUCUUAAAGCCAAUCUCAGUUCGGAUUGUAGGCUGCAACUCGCCUACAUGAAGUCGGAAUCGCUAGUAAUCGCGGAUCAGCACGCCGCGGUGAAUACGUUCCCGGGCCUUGUACACACCGCCCGUCACACCACGAGAGUUUGUAACACCCGAAGUCGGUGAGGUAACCUUUUGGAGCCAGCCGCCUA
This 1418-nucleotide ribosomal RNA is filed under the name Streptococcus salivarius. RNAcentral describes it as "bacterial SSU rRNA". It matches the Rfam family "Bacterial small subunit ribosomal RNA". The record is from RNAcentral. Lineage: Bacteria; Bacillati; Bacillota; Bacilli; Lactobacillales; Streptococcaceae.